This 211-nucleotide long non-coding RNA is filed under the name Oryza brachyantha (malo sina). Its description in RNAcentral is "long non-coding RNA (OBRA_LNC001611)". Lineage: Eukaryota; Viridiplantae; Streptophyta; Magnoliopsida; Poales; Poaceae. The record is from RNAcentral.
CACAUACAUGGCGCGCAUGGUGAUCUCAUGGGCAUCGUCAGCGAUGUCUAAUGCGCGCCGACGGUCGUGAAAAGCUCUCAAAUUUGCGGCAUUUGCCCUUCCUUUAGAUCAGAAUGCUCUCGGUUUUUCGAGUAGACCGAGAUCGAUGGCCGAGCACCAAUAACCUAAUUUGAUCUCACCUGAAAGAUGAAUUAGCUUUCAGUCUGUCAGA